RNAcentral lists this ribosomal RNA (932 nucleotides) under Melanconiella elegans. RNAcentral's name for it is "eukaryotic LSU rRNA". It matches the Rfam family "Eukaryotic large subunit ribosomal RNA", at positions 1 to 940 of the family's 3401-position model. Lineage: Eukaryota; Fungi; Ascomycota; Sordariomycetes; Diaporthales; Melanconiellaceae. The record is from RNAcentral.
GUUGACCUCGGAUCAGGUAGGAAUACCCGCUGAACUUAAGCAUAUCAAUAAGCGGAGGAAAAGAAACCAACAGGGAUUGCCCUAGUAACGGCGAGUGAAGCGGCAACAGCUCAAAUUUGAAAUCUGGCCUCCCCACGGGGGUCCGAGUUGUAAUUUGCAGAGGAUGUCUUCUGGCGCGGUGCCUUCCGAGUUCCCUGGAACGGGACGCCACAGAGGGUGAGAGCCCCGUAGCGGUCGGAUACCAAGCCUGUGUGAAGCUCCUUCGACGAGUCGAGUAGUUUGGGAAUGCUGCUCUAAAUGGGAGGUAAAUCUCUUCUAAAGCUAAAUACUGGCCAGAGACCGAUAGCGCACAAGUAGAGUGAUCGAAAGAUGAAAAGCACCUUGAAAAGGGGGUUAAACAGUACGUGAAAUUGUUGAAAGGGAAGCGCUCAUGACCAGACUUGCGCCGGGCGGCUCAGCAGGUGGUUCUGCCCCUGUGUACUCCGUCCCGGUUCAGGCCAGCAUCGGUUCUCGUUGGGGGAUAAGAACGGUGGGAACGUGGCCCUCCCUCGGGGGGGUGUUAUAGCCCGCCGUAACGAUACCCUGGCGGGGACCGAGGUUCGCGCAUCUUGCAAGGAUGCUGGCGUAAUGGUUAUCAGCGACCCGUCUUGAAACACGGACCAAGGAGUCGUCCUUUAGAGCGAGCGUCUGGGUGUCAAAACCCGCACGCGUAAUGAAAGUGAAAUUAGGUGAGAGCCCUCACGGGCGCAUCAUCGACCGAUCCUGAUGUUCUCGGACGGAUUUGAGUAAGAGUUUUAACGGACGGACCCGAAAGACAGUGAACUAUGCUUGUAUAGGGUGAAGCCAGAGGAAACUCUGGUGGAGGCUCGCAGCGGUUCUGACGUGCAAAUCGAUCGUCAAAUAUGAGCAUGGGGGCGAAAGACUAAUCGAAC